Molecule: long non-coding RNA, 18314 nt
Filed under: Vitis vinifera (wine grape)
Lineage: Eukaryota; Viridiplantae; Streptophyta; Magnoliopsida; Vitales; Vitaceae
Description: long non-coding RNA (VVIN_LNC000312)
Source: RNAcentral
AAAAAAAACUAGGUUACUCUUCAAGUUCAAAAGUGGGAAAUGUUAGUUUUUAUCCCUUUUAAUCAAUUAAUCCCAUUAAUUAAUAUUGACAAAUGUUAGUCCUUCUUCAUGGAUAUAUAUAUAAUAUUAUUGGAAAUAAUUUUUUUUUUCUUUUGAAUUAAGUGGUUAGAUUUAUUUAAAUAAAAAACAAACCAAGUUUAAACAAAAAGGACUAAUAUAAAUUAACGUAGAUGAUUAGAUAGUCAAAUUCUUAGGAAACCAUGAACUCUUUGAAUUUGCUCUUAUGAAUGGACUUUAGGAUUCAAGUACCAUCCAUUUACUUUAAAAGGAGAUUAGCUUUUUGAAAGCAAAUCAUGAAUAUCGUUUUCAUUUCCAAGUAUAUCAAGUUGCAAUAUAUAAAAUUUCAAAGUCUUAUCAUACCUCAACAAAACGUCAUGUUCUGUCAAUUUUUGGUCUAAUGCUUUUGGAAUUACUCUUUCAUUGGUAUCUUAACAAGUUGCAUAUGCUUGGGUUGGACCUUUGUGAACAUGACCUUGCAAAUGGAUUGAAUUUUUGUUAGAAACAAGUCUCUCACUCUCCAAAGCGGUCCCCUCUCCAUUGCAUAACUUAUUAGCAAAAUCCUUCAAAUUUUGUACUAUAUACAUACACACUCAUUUAUUGGGUUCUUUUAAAAUAGGUAUAUCAUAUUUUAAAAGUAUAUGGUUAAUUUGUUGUGUUGAAUAAAAUACAAAGAAAAUAAGUGUAGACCCCCAUUUGGGGCUCGUUUUUCAGCAACUCAAUUUUGCCAAGUGCCACUAUCCCGGGUGGCCACAUGUCGCCUCCUGGUUGGUUGCUGUGGAAUCAGCUUAGUGGAGUUGAUGGACGAAUGAGAAAGCGACACCUGUUGGAGAAUAUUCAUAAGAGCUUUUGGGCUGUUAGAGUGGAGUUUGGAUGAUUUUUUUUGAAGCGUGAGGGGGACCCCCCUCUCUUACCAUGAAUCCCGGCCAGAUGGGACAAGCAACCAGGAAGUUGAGGGCUUGAUUGCCGGCGGCAACAGACGUGCAGCAGCAAAGGGAGUGGUUGGUCAAACCAUGCUUGCUAACCAGUGAACAGGGGUAAGAAGGGAAAGAGUAAGGGGGGACACAAGAAAAAAGGAAAGCAAGAAGAGGAAGAACAGAAAGAGGGGACAGCAUUGUAGAGAGAGAAAAGGAGUAUGGGUGGAACUUGAAGAGAAAGCUAAGAACAAAGGAACGUAGAGUUGCUGAGAGGAGUCCAGGACAUAGAGCUGAGAAGAGAGAUUUCCAGGUAUGACCAUUUGUUUUUUUUUGUAUAUUUUCUUUUUUUUUUUUUCAGAUUGUCUAGAUUUAAUUCUCAGUGAUUUUUCAUUUCUACUUGUUGGGUUGUUCUGUUUUGGUGAUUACUGAUUAAAUAUUGGAAGAGUUUGCUAUGUUUUAUGCCCUCUUCUGACGAGUAUUUUUCCAUCUUAACUCACUGGAUGUUGGACCCAUGGACGAAAUGAUGAAAUGGGUCCGAUACGCCGGUUAAAGUCUUCAUGUUCUUCUUCUUGUUGCUAUCCUAUUAUCUCCUUGUUUUCUUUUCUUCCCUGAGUGCAUACUCAAGGCUCCCAAGUCUCAGUUGCUUUCCGUGAAGCUUCAAGCCAUGGCCUCAUUGUGGCUAGAAUCUGGGUUUUCAGUGAUGAUGAGAAUGGGUUUUUUCGGUUUUCUCCAAGCUUUCACAGUCAGCAAAUACCCAAGGUUGCAUACUACCAGGCAUAUUCGUCAGCUAGACGUGGAAGCGCAUCUGCUGGUGGCCUGCCCAUUGUGUUUAUGUCCAGGCACAUGUCUUCACUCUGCAUGACCCCUGUCUCUAUUCUCAUGCAGGUGUGUCGUCAUCUCAUCCCCAUGUUUUUUUUCCUUAUCCACCAUACCCAUCGUUUAUCUAUCCACUUCUCUCUCUCUCUAGGUCGUCAUACCCAUUUCCUCACUCAAGCUUGCAGGAAUCAAGCAUCCUCCACCACACCCAUUUUCCUCUCAUUCAUUAUCUGAAUGUAUCACAUCCAGAAUCCUGUCCGACUGACAUUCCACCUUAUCCGGAUGCCUCACAUCCGGAAUCCUGUCCGCUGACAUUCUAUCUUCUUCGGAUGCCUCACAUCCGGAAUCCUGUUCGGCCGACAUUCCACCUCCUCUGGAUGCCUCACAUCCGGAAUCCUGUCCGGUCAACAUUCCACCUCCUCCGGAUGUCUCACAUCUGGAAUCCUGUCCGCCGACAAUCCAUCUUAUCCGAAUGCCUCACAUCCGGAAUUCUGUCCUGCGCCAUCCCACCUUCUCCGGAUGUCUCUCAUCCGGAAUCUGUCUGCCGACAUUCCGCCUUAUUCGGAUACCUCACAUCCGGGAUCUAUUCGGCGCCAUCCCACCUUCUUCGGAUGUCUCUCAUCCGGAAUCUGUCCGCCGCCAUUCCCACCUUCUCCGGAUGUCUCUCAUCAGGAAUUUGUCCGCCUACAUUCCGCCUUAUCCGGAUCUCUCACAUCCGGGAUCUGUCCGACACCAUCCCAUCUUCUCCGGAUGUCUCUCAUCCGGAAUUUGUCCGCCGACAUCCCGCCUUCUCCGGAUGUCUCACAUCUGGAAUUCUGUCCGGCCGACGUUCCACCUUCUCUAGAUAUCUCGCAUCCGACGCCUGAUGCCGGAUGGGAGAGGAAGGCGAUUCAACUUCCCCCGUCAAACAUGUCUGGAUCCUUGUUUUAUAACUUCUUUUUUUAAACCAUUUCAAAGCAUCCUAUCUUUCAUCCUUAGAGUUUUUAAGAUUACCCAAGAGUCCCAUUUGCAAUAAAAUUUUGCUGCCAUCUUUCUUUCCGGCAAGCAAUUUUCACAACUCUUCUGUUUUUUUUUUAAAUGUUUUAAAAUAAGCAUAGAUUCAAUCAUGUAAUUCCGAAUAAUGGAGUUUAUGGAAUUAAUUCAUGCAAAAAUAAACGGGCUUUGGUGGGGGUCCCACAUAAGUGACUUUAUAAUUGAUUGAUUGAUUGAUUAAUUUAAUUGUCAUGCAUGAUUGAUCUUAUUCUUCUAUAUGACAUACUUGAAAUUAUUCCUUAAUUGUACACUAACCUCUCUCUUGAUAGUGCAUGGUGGCUCGUUGCCCAGGUACGCACCUACUUUCACUUUGGUAAUUGUCUAAGCAUAUUUUGAUUUUCACGUGUGCAUGAUUUAUUCUGGGUACUCAUUGAUUUACUCGUCCAUUGUCAUGAUCGCUUCAUUUUAUUAGUAAAGACCCGACUUUAGGGACUUAGAGGGGUGCUACGGUUUUUACCGUACCUUCCCGAUAAGUAACCUGACCCCCGAACCCGAUCCAGUUUUUCGUAGACCACCUUUUCCAAAAUAAGAAGUCACACUUAGGGUUUUUCUUUCUUAUUUUGUUUACCCUUUUAAAAAUAAAACAAAAAUAAGUGGCGACUCUAAGUCAUUUUUCUUAAUCAAUAAAAAUCAAUUUUCCAAAAUCAAAAGCGAGUUUCGCCAUCGAGUGGGAAAUGCAUUGAGCCGAAAUGCGGGGUCCACAAUAAGGUUAUUUGUUUUCGAGAAUAGUUUUUUGUUCUCCAAAAUAAAAAAAUAAAAAAACAUGUUUGAUAAUCAGAAAAUAUUUUUUUGUCUUCUAUUCUUAAGAACAAAAAAUAAGGUGUUUUUAAAUAAUAUCUUUCACUCAUUUUCACUUGUUUUUUAAGAAUUGUUUUAAAAAAUAAUUAUACAAAUAUAUAGAAUGAUUAAAUAUAAAAUACUAAAUAUAAAAUUAUUUUUAAAACAUAUUUAAAAACAUUAUAAAUAUGUUAAAAUAUUUCAAAUUCAUAAAUAGACUUUUAUUCUAUAAAACAUUAUAAAAUAAUUUUCAAAAAUUAUUCUCAAAAACUAUGUUUCAAAACUAUUUUCGAAAAUAGUUACCAAAUAAGAACUAAGAUUCAUAUAUAAAGAAAUUGGACAAACAUAUAAAGAUAUCAAAUGUAAGUGCAAUAAAUUAAGAAAAAAAAAAAGGAAGAAGAAGAAGAAGAAGAACUCGUAUAUAGCAAAAAGUAAAGGAAACCUUUUUUCACAAUGUGAUAUUCAUUAGUAAUUGGUCAACAUUUUUCUUUAUGGCAUCAAAAUGCUAUUUUUUUGGUACCAUAUCAUGACAUUUGAAUUAGAGAGCUACCAGCUAGUUUAUGUUUCAUGACUCGUGUGAGUGUAUAAUUAAUUUUAAAAGCUUGUACAUGCAAAAGUGUUCAAUAUAACCAAUGUACUAACUUAAUUUAAGUUAUCAAAUAUGUACAAUAAAAUAAUUUAAUAGAAUUAUUAAAAAUAAAAAAUAAAAAAUAAAUUACUCUUUCUAAAUCAUUAAAAAUAAAAAAUGGUGCCCACAAUACUUUAACCUCUUGACUUGUCAUCAACCCUCUAUCACAAUAGUCAACUAUUUUAAAUUAUUAAUUCUUUAUUGGAGGUCUAAUUAAUUAUUAAACUAUUAAUUCGAUAUGUUUGUCCCUAAAAAAUAUUAAGAAAAGAAAAAAAGCAUUAAGAAAAUUGGUUAUUUCAUAUUUGGUUUCAUUAUUAAAAAUAUAAAAGAAAAUCAAAUAUAAUUAAAAUUUAUUAAAAUUUUAUAUAUUUUUUAAUUAUUUAAUCUUUAUAUAAUAGAAGAAAAUAAAUAAAAUGAGUUUGAAGAAACAUAUAAAAAUAAUUUAUUAAUUUUAAAUUUAUUUUUUAUUUUUCUUCUAUUUUUCCACUUUAUUUUCUUUUCUUCACAUUUUUCAUAACCAAACAUAGUCUAAGAGAAUUUUUAUUUUUUUUCCUUAUUCACACAACCUUUUGUGUUUUUUUGAAGACUGAAAUUGCUCAAAAUCGACUAGUAAGGAAGAAAUCUCAAAAAGACAUUAAUUGUAAAUCCUUACUUAAUUUCCAAAUCUAAGAAAUGUAUUAAGGAAUAGUAUUCUUAAAUUUCCAACAGGGUUUUUAAUUAAGAUAUUAGAGAAUUAUUAUUAUUAUUAUUAAAUUACAUUAUAUAAUAAUAUACUUACAAGAUCAAUAUUAUCUUAUCUUAAGAACAAAAAGAGAGAGCAACUAAUUACAAAGAUGAGAGCCCUCGGAGUUCUCUCUUAUCACUCCUAGUAUUGUGCUAGUGGCUAAUUUUGAACCUUUGGUCUUUCGUGGGGAGCCACCACGGGCCUAGUGGCAUACUCUCCUCUAAAAUUUUAAAGAACGCCAAUUUGACACAACAAAAAGAUAUUUAAAAAAUAUUUUUAUUUUUAUUUUAAAAUUUAUUUAAUAUUUAUAAAAUUAAUUUUUUUUAAAUGCUAAUUUUUCACUAUAAAACAAAUGUUAACAAAAUAAUUUUUAUUUGAUUUUUUAUUAAAUAUUUUCUUAGCUGUGGGUAGUGUUUAUAUUUUUAGGUUUAAUCCAAUAGUCAUGAAUUUAUAAAUGAUUAUAUAAUUAUUUGAAUUAUAUGCUAUUUAAUAAUUAAAUUUAUUUCAUUUGACUUUGAGAUUUGAGGUUUAAUUGUGUAGUACUUUGAAGGCAAAUUUUAUGAUUUUAAAAAUAAAUUUCUCAAAUGCUUUGAAGGUAAAAAGGAAUGAUUAAGAGCAUUCCAUAGAUGUGAUUUUUUAUUUUUUAUUUUCAUUCUUUUUAAUCAUGUGAUAAUUUAUAUUUCAACUGGAAACUGACUGAAUGUCUGAGUUCACCGCCAGCAAGGGAAUUGAGGGGAGGGAGAGCCAAAUGCUCAGACAAGGAUGGAGUGAUGCCCUUCCGGCGUACCGGUUUACAGAGCCCAUGUAGAAAACGUAAACCCCUUUGGAUUUCCCAUUUCUGAUAUCCAUCUCAGGUGUGGCUGGUUCAGCUCUUCUGUCCUCAUAAACCCGAAAAUAUUCAAGCGUCUAUGCUACAACUACUGCCUUGUCAGGAAUGGGAGGCCCCUGGCUAGCGGUUCCAUGGUCGAAUUUGAGUUUGCCAACAGCUUCAGCUACCCCCUCUCUUUCUCUUCAAUAAGGUUAAUUUUACGAUUUUACUUGAAUUUUAGAAUACAUCGGAUAAUGAAUAUUUUAAAUAUCAAUAAAAUAAAAAUUAUUUUAAAUUUAUAAAUAAAAAUACAUAUAUUAAAAUUAUUUUAUAUAUGUAAUUGAUGUAAAUAUAAUUAAGAAGAAAAAUAUCAAUAAACAAAGAAAUAUCAAUCUUAAUAUAUAAUUUAUUAUUUAUUUAAUUAAAUUAAUUUUAAUUUAUAAAAUAUUAACUUCAUUAUUUUUUUACAUAUUUUAAUAUUUUUUUAAAUAAAUUUACAUUUUAAUAUUUUAAAAUAAAAACAUUCAAAAUUAGGAAGAUAAAUAUAAAAAAAUUAAAAGGGAAGUAAUAGUAAUAUUUAAAAUAAGAUUAAUGAAAUAAUUAUUAUAUAUUUAAUAUUAAAACUAUAUUUUAUUUAAUUUAAAUACAUUUAAUAAUAUAAAAUAAAUAAUUAUGCAUAUGAUUUUUUAAUUUUUAUAUUUUUAUAUUUAAUUAUCAUAUAAAUGAUAUAAAAAGACUUGUUAAGAAAAUUAUAAUGCUGGUUUUUAUACUUUUAUUAAUCAAUUAAAUAAAAUUUAAAAUAAAAUAAUUAAAAUUAAUUUAUUCUUCUAUUUUUUAAUAAUGAAGUUUAAGGUGUUCAGUGUGAACAUUUACUUACAAAAGUGAACUUGGUCUAGUGGUAGCCACACAGGGUUCAAAUCCCCCGCUGCAAGAAAAAUGUGAAGUUUGGCCAGAGUUGGAACCCCUUUCUACAAGAAAAAUGUGAAGGGGCUUGGCCCGCUUAGCUGCAAUAUAGGUGAUAUUUUAGAAAAAUUUUUGAAAAAUGGGUCGACCAAUUAUGUAGAAUGUCGUGUCAGCCCUCACCGAUAUUUUGACGAAAUUUCGCGAUAUUUUAAAUCAUGAUUGUAACACUAUGGCACCAUUGCAACUGUACUACCACAAAGGAAUAAUGUCUUGGGAAAUUUAUUUAUUUUUCUUAUUGUUAUAAAAUGAGAAAACAAAUUGAAUAAAGUACAUAAUUCUCUAGUAUUAACCAUGAAUACCAUAUUAAUUACAUGCUUUGACACAAGAAAUUAUGAGAUCAGGGGUGCUGGUUCUGAGGGCUGGUAGGAGGGGAUGGAGGGUAGUAGUAGGGAAUCCAAGUUCUGGGGUCUUCCCAGUUGAAUGCUGGAGGAGGAGGGUUUAGUGAAGGGAUGUAGGGUGUCCAAGUUUUGGGGUCUCCCAAGUUGAAUGCUGGAGGAGGAGGGUUUAGUGAAGGGAUGUAGGGUGUCCAAGUUUUGGGGUCUCCCAAGUUGAAUGCUGGUGGAGGAGGAGGGGUUAGUGAAGGGAUGUAGGGUGUCCAAGUUUUGGGGUCUCCCAAGUUGAAUGCUGGUGGGGGAGGGGGAGACAGGGAAGGUAUGUGUGGUAUCCACGUUCUGGGGUCUCCCCAGUUGAACGCAGGCGGAGGAGGGGGAGGAAGGGAGAGAGGUGGGGUUGGAGGGAAAGGGAAGGGUAGAGAUGGUGGUGUUUUGAAUGGUAAUGGAGGAAAUGGAAGUGAUGGAAAUGGGGGCAAUGGGGAAAAGGGAAAAGGCAAUGUUGGCAGAGGAGGUAGCCGAGGCAGAGGAGGUAGCCGAGGCAGAGGAGGUAGCUGAGGCAGAGGAGGUAGCUGAGGCAGAGGCGGUAGCUGAGGCAGAGGAGGUAGGGGAGGUAAAGAAGGCCAAGGGAAGCCAAAUGGUGGAAAGCAAGGCAGAAAGAAUUUUGCAGAAUUUAAGUCAUUUGGCAAUUCCUGUGUUUGAUCUCCACAAAUUGUGGUGUUCCUCUUGGAUGGUCUGUAGCUCAAAGCAUUCAAGUUGAAGAUGCAGAGGUUGUCCUGUUUUGAUUUCACCGAGAUGGCAUUAGUCGUCGUCUUCAAGCCAGGAACAUUGCAGGCUGAUGAUGAGCUCCCAAUCAACUUUGCCUGGCAAAGAGUCUGCAUUGUGUGACCUCCUAUGCAGUCAAUUCCAUCAACAGAUGGUAUUUCAAGCUUGUAAACCCCAUGUUUACCAGUAGUUCUAUUGACCGAGAAGUUGAUCUCUUCAUUGGUUCUAGCUGAAUUUACCCUUAAUUUGCAUUGAAUUUGAACCUCGACACCUGUUUACAUCUUUAAAUGUGAGUAAAAUUGAGUGAAACCACACAGCAGUUUUCAGUCUUUCUCAUUGUUCCUUACCUGGCAAGAAGUAGCUGUGCCUUGAGAGGGUGUUGUUGGAGCAGAUAUCACAAAAAACAGCACCAACUAUCGCGAUCCGAGAGAUGGGUUUUGUUGGAUGAGCCCCAAGGGGAAGUGGGUGAGCAAGCAAAGAUACAAAAACAGCAAGAACAAUCAUCAAAUCCAUGGCAAAAACAUAGGCCAAGACAAGCUUCUACAGAUGCAUCUAUGGGAAUGGUUGGUAAUCAAUGAAGAAGAAGAGCAUCCAAAGAAUUGUAUUAUUAUACUAGUAUACAGAAAGCAUUCUCAGAAGAUAAUGAGCCCGUGAGGAGUUGGUAUUAGGACCAACUGUAAUCAAAGAGCUGAGAAGCUUUAACUAUUUCACAAACAAACAAAGGCAUGUGAAGAGGCCCUUUUGGCCUCUUGUGUGGUUGUAAGUUGUAACCCUGUUGCAGAUUCACGGGUUUGGAGGCUGUGUGUUGAGUACCUAGACAGUGAAGGAAGUUCCCAAGAUUUAAAACAACUCCAUAGAAUGGAAGAUCAGAAUCAUUUGAUGUUGUCCUUUCACCUUUGAGGGUUGUCAAUGCUUUAUGUUCCUCUCUUUGUUUUGUGGUUACAUCCUGAUGGAAUGUUAUAAAUUAAAGGAUUGGAGUCACAAGACAAUGACUUCAUCACAUUUAAUCUCAACCACUAUUAUUUAGAAUGCACCUUUUUUUAACUCAACCCCCUCCCUGUCUAGAAUUUAGCUGUUGUUCGAGGAAGAAUUCAGAAGAUGCAAUAUAAUAGUUCUGCAGCAGAUUGUGUAAGGGAGUGUCCUGAAUAUUUUCACAGGUCAUGUGGGGUUUGCCCUUUAAAGUUUGAAUCAAUGUGUUGGAUGUGCAUAUGACAUGCCUACUCCCAUAACUCACACUCCAUUUCAUGUAAAUAUUGUCUGCUUUAAAUUUAACGGGUCACAAUCCUCUAUAUAGACAUGACACCAGAAGUCAAGCCAUGACACACAAGACAAAUACUGUUUAUAGGAUAGAUAAAGCCCAACGUCAAGUUGUUGGGUUUGGCUUUGAAGUCUACAUUGUACCCAUAGUAAUAUGGAUUCAAAGAGACAAAGACACCUUUCAAGAUCAAAGGAGCCCUACAUCACGGUGCGAUUUUGACUCUAAUAUUAUUUAUAGUGGUUGAUUUUCUUUCAUAUAGAUAUUAUUUAUUCCAGUUUAACGGGUCAUCACGACUUUAAAAUACAUUUACCCAACUAAGAAGAGUAGAAAUCAGAAACUUCUCCUAGUCAUAUGAGAUAUCACAUGCUUGCCUGAUCACCGAAUACCUAACUUGUGUUGUAGCUUGUCUUGACAGUGGAAGUGACGUAUAAAGCAGACAAACAAAAAGAUAAGGUUGAAGGUGUGGUUUUAUACUUUCAUAUGCAUUUCGGUGUCCUGUAUGUCAUGGCUUGACUUCUGGUCCUACACAAAGCCAAGCAUAAUUGAAGUGCCUCUAAAGAAGCAUAUAAGAUAAUUUAGGGCUAUUUACUAGCAAACUAAGCUUAGUAUCAUAAUUGGCCAGGUGAAAAUUUGUGGCUACAUGUCACUACAUGACAAAACAUGGUUAAACCAAGUUCUAUAAAACCAUCUUGAUGUGAGACUCUAAACUAUUGUAAACAAUUUUGAAGUUAUAGUAAAUCACAAAAAUCACUUUUGUACUUUCACUUGUUUUUUAAUUUAAUCUUUAAAUUUUGUUUUUUUUUUUUUAAGUCUAUAGUGUUAAUCUUAAAGGGAUAAUUUCACUCAUCUCUCUUGAGAUUUUAGCUAAAUAUAACUAGUCUCAUUAAUUAGAAAAUUCGUCAAAUACGUUUUUUAUUUUGAAUUAGAGGAAAGGUGAGUGAAAAUAUCAAAUGAGAUAGGGGAGGCAUGUGAUGAAAUUUCAAACCAAUCGGGCUAGGUGUAUUCAACCAAAGCUUCAAGGGAGGUCAAUAAAAUUAACCCAAAUCUUAAACUAUGUCCAAAUUUGGAAUGUGGGAAAAAAAAAUCCAAAGUUAAAUUGUUAAGCAGCAGGGUCGUGAAUGGACUGGGCUCAGGUUUAGAAGCGUGGACCUAGGGUUUUAGGUGCUAGUUGGGCAAACUUGAUACUUCAGGGCCUGAAAGUGGGGCCCAAAUCCCAAGGUCCGAGGUAUGUUAUUCCGACAUAUAGGGAAAGUCGAAAGAGGAGGAAAUGGAUCCAAAUUGGGCUAGGCCUUUCCAUGUUUUGGGCCUCUAGGCCCAAUUUACACCUCCACUUAUAUUUAAGGAGCUAUUUUUUCGGUUUCUUUUUUUUUUUUUUUUUACUUCUCUAAGGGUCUCGAUGAUUAUUUAUGUUCCAAGGUUUUGAUGGAUAUUUUUAUUAGACUUAAAAAUUUGAAAUAAGAGUAAUAUAAUUGCCCUAAUUCGGUUGUUAAACAAAUUUCUAUUAUCAAACACUAAAAGCAAAAUUCAAAGGUAAAAUGCAGCAUUUUAAAAAAAUUGAAUACAACUUUUCUUAUAUUUCUUCUAUUAUUAAAAAAAAAAAAAGUUGAAAUUUUUACUACUCCAUCCUUAAACAAUUCUCCUACCAUUGAGAUAAAAGAAAAUUGUUAAAAAGAAAAAAAAAAACAUCUUUUACAAGCACAGACAUAUAUACAAAAAGUUUAGGUUGAUAAUUGCUUUUAAAAAUAAUUUAAAAAAGAUUUUUAAAAACCAUUUUUUAAUAUUUUGUAAAAUAAAAGUUUGUUGAAUAACCUGAAAUAUUUUUAAAUAUAUUUUAAAAAUAAUUUUUAUAUUUAUAUCUAAUGUUUUAUUUUUAAUCAUUUUUAUGUUUGUAUAAUUAUUUUUGAAAACCACCCUUUAAAAAUCAACUUAAAAUACUUGAAAAAUGCUCUCAAAAAGUAAAAAAUAAUUUUUUGAUUAACAAGUGUUUUUUUUUUUCCUAUAAUAUAAAAUUGUUAUUUAAAACAACCACCUUAAGUGGAUAAAUUUUUUUUUUUCUCUCUUUUUCCUUUCAAUGAAUCCACAUUUUUGUGAUUAAUGUAGGUACAAUUCAGUAAAUGAAAUAUUUUUCUAAGAUAAAAAAAAAAAAAAAAAAUCAAUAUGAAAGUUACACAUGAGUUAUAUUUAUUAUUAUUAUUAUUUAACAUUAAUGCAUGCCCUCAAUUUCAUUAAUUUUAAAUAAUUUAAUUAAAUUACCUAUGGUAGACGUAUUAGUUCGAUCAUUCAUUUAAAUUCUAAGUCUUAACUUUCCUUUUCGCCAGCUUUUAGCUUUGAUUUUAUGAGCCUUUGACAAACUACCACUCAACCUUUCCAUUGACAAGCAAAGAAAAGAACACUCACCACUUUCUUUUCUGUUUCAUUUUUUAAAAUUUCUUGGGUCUAUACAGAGAUGGUGGCUUUGAUUUCAUAAUUAAUACCACAGAAUUACAUUGAAACAGAGAGGAAAAGAAAGUCAUGGAAAGAGAAACAAAAAUGGAGGUAGCUAGCUACCUCACUACUCCUCUUCUUUCCUGAUCAUGAUCAGUAUCAUCAAACCUUUAAGAUCAGAGCCAGAGAGCUCCGGCUUCCUUGAGGAGAGGGACCAGAGUCCCAUUGAUAUGUGAAGCCAUGACACUGUCCAUUGACCCCACGAGCUUCCCCCCGAUGAACACCACAGGCACCGCCGGAGAGUUCCCCAGCAGCCUCAUCAACGCCCGCUCAAUCUCCUUCCCUCUGGGGUCCUGGUCCAGCUCGUACACAGUCGGGUUCACGCCCAUUCCGCAGAAGAGCCUCUUCACGGCAUGGCACAUGCAGCAGGAGCUGAGGCUGAAGAUCACCACCGCAUUCUCCGACGCCAGCCUCGCCACUCGCUCCAGCGGAUCCGCCAUGACUCUCGCCGCCGCUGCCGCUGCCGCUGCCGCCGUAUAGUAUCCCCAAGAUUCGGAGUGGUGGUAGUACAUCUGAACAGCACGGGAGGCGUGGAGAGAAUGGUGGUGGGAAAAGGUAGGUUUAUAGUGCGGGUGUGUCGGGGGCAUUUUGGUGAUUCCACAUUUUGUCUCUUUGUUGUCGCAGCGCGUGCCUUGAUUUUUGCCUUAAAAGGAUGGCUGAAUGCAAAGAAAAGUACAAAAUUAUCAUGAUACAGUGGCUUUAAUGGAAGCAGUAGAAGGCGGCUAUGAGCAAUUGUGUACUCAAGAGAAUACGCACUACAUUAUACACAAAGGGAGAUGAUCGUUAUUUAGAGACAUGGAAAUAAGCUUUUUUUUUUUUUUUCCUAAGGGACAAGUCUGAGGGUUCAGAAGACGGCUGUCUCCGUCCUGUUGUCGGAGGUUGGCCUUUUAUUUUGUGUUUUUUUAUUUAUUUAAAUAUCAUCACCAGCACCAUGAUCAACGGUCAUCCUUCAACGACACUCGUGAUUUGACUUUGACCUCAUAUGGGUACUACAGGUGGACCCGCCAUUUGAAUUAAGAUUAGCCGUAGGUUCUUUAUGCAUCGUGGAAUGAUGGUGUUUGAGAAUGUUUUUAAAAUAAAAAAUCAAUUUGAAAACAUGGAAUACUUUCAAUAUAUUAUAUCUCUUGGAACUAUAUUUUAAAAAUAAGUAACGUUUAUUUUCUAUCAUCCUUCACAUUUAUACAAUUAUUUUUAAAAAUUGUUCAAGUGAAAAUAAUUAAAAAUUAUAAAAUAUGUUCUAAUAAAAUAUCCUAUCUUCAAAAUAAAUUCUUAAAAAAUUGUUUUUAACAAAAAAUUAUAAAACAUAUUCUCUAGUUUUAAAAAUUGUAAAAAAAAAAAAAACGUUUUUUAAUAGAAAUUUAUCAACCAUAUUUUCUUGUCUAAAAAAUAAUUUUUUUGUCUUUGAUAAUAAAAAUUGCUUUUUAAAAGAGUUUCAAACAACCAUAUAAAUUUUAUAUGAUAACUUUUCAAUAACUUAUUGCUUUCAGUGUAAUAUCAAAUUGAUACAUACCAAAAAGCUCAACUAAUAAGAUAUCACACGUACUUUUAAGUGUUAUUGUUUUGUACCAAGUUCAAUCUUAUUACUUCAUAUCUUAAUCAUAUUUUUCUACGUUUUGGUCAAAUUAUUUGUACUUUACCUUAUUCUUUUGUACUUUAGUCUUAUUAUUUGCAUCUUUGUCCAACAAUUUAAAUUUUAUCGUUCCACUUGGAUUACAUAUCCGGUAGAAAGUGAUUCAAUAUUCUAAAGUAUUUAAAUAAGCCUAAUAAAAUAUUUUGAUUUUUAUAUCAUACUAAUUUGAUCUAAAAGCUUUCAUUUCAAUCAUUUUGAUCCUUGAAAAAAUUUGAAGAAAGGAAACAAGAAAGGGAAAAAUGAAAAAUACUAAAAACUAAAAUUCAAACUAAUAAAUUAUUUUUAUAUAUUUUUUUUUAUAAAUUCAUUUUAUUUAGUUUAAAUCUUCUAUAUAAAAAUUAAAUAAUUUGAAAUAAUUAUUUUAUAAUUAAUUUUAAAUUUAAUCUUCUUUCAUAAUCAUGCCCAAUAUAAUAUGAAGGAAUAAUUUAUUUCACCUCCUCUAAGGUUUCAGUUAAUACAUCUAACUCUCAUACUUUUGAAAUUUCAUCAGUCAUUCCCUUAUCCUUUUCCUUUUUUAUUUUCAUUCAUCUUCUCUCUCACUUAAAAUAAAAGAGAUAUAUAAUAAAAUUUAACCAAAAUCCCUCGAAAGGUAAAUGAAAUUAAUGCAAAUAAGAAAAUUAUUUUAUUUAUUUUUUAUUUUCUUAGUAUUUUCUCGACAUAUAAAUGAGAUGAGAGAAAUAAACCAACCAAUCAUUAAAAUUAAAAGAUGGAUGUUAUGUUAAAUUAUUUAAUUUAUUAGCACAAUGAAGAAAUUAUUUAGUGAUAACAGUCUAUUCCUUUAUUAUGAACUUUACUUUUAGAUUUCUAUUUAAAUUUCUCAUCAGCUUUUAAGUGAUUUUGUUACUGCUUAAACUAUCAAUUCAUCAGCCAUUACUAAUAAAUAUCAAAUACUUAGAUUAUGUUGGGUAUUUAAACAAUAUUAAGAAAAAAGGGAAAAAGAUCCUAAAAAUAUAAAUUUUUGUCAUAUUUUCAAACUUCUUAGACUUCGAAUAUUUAAUGUUUAUUUAGACACUUAUUAUUUUCUAAUUUUAAAAUAAAAUAAAAAUAAUACUAAUUUUUAUAUAAGAAAUCAAAACAUUUAAAUGUUUGAAUUGAAAAUAUAAUGGUUUUAAAAUUGUUUAAAAAAUUUUACCAUAUCAAAAUUUUAAGGUUUUUAAAAUAAAUUUUAAGGAUAAAAAUAAAAAUAAGAAGUGCAUAUAGGUGCAAGUAGAGGGGUGGUUGGUAAAGGACACUUUUGGACGGCACUCAGCCUAAGCCUAAUGGGCUUCAAACAUAACUAUGUUGAUAGUAUUGAAAAUUAGUUUAUAUUAAUGGUUCUUAUAAAUUCAGAGAUUUUUUUAAGAAAAAAAGGAGGUAUUGAGGGUUUCUUAGACUCAAACAACUGGCUCUAAUGAAAUUCAUAAAGUUGUAAUUAAUCACUGCCACGAAAAGAAGAGAUCAAUUGUGGUGCAUGUGGGUGGUCAAAUGCCCAAUCCUCUUUUCUUCCAUCUUUUUCCAAACACCAUGUAACAUGCCCUACACUCGAGAAAAAUCGUGUGGUUUAACUUCAUCCAACCAAAUAUAAAGUGCUUCUUAACACCGUCUUUAUUGGCAACCUUCAUAUUAUAAAUAUAAAAAGGAUCAAUUUUUAAAGAAAAAUUUUAAUUGAAUAUGUAGGGCCGAUGUACCCGACUUAUGCUUAAUGUUUUCUAAUUCUACUAGAAAUCUCGUAAGAACCUAUUUUUUUAUAAGUGGAUUUAUGAAAUUAGUUUAUUAAUAGUCUUGGAUCAUAAUCCCUUUUUGACUCUACACCGUUAAUUUCACUAUUAUUAGUGAGCAAAAUAAUAGAAAAAAUUCAUUCAUAUUCAUAAAGAUAGGGAACAUAAUUCAUAUGGAUAUAGUAGGUCUCGUGGAUGGUCUCGAUAGUAGGACACGGAGUUAAAACGAUCAAGUUAUCAACAAAAUUAAUAUGGUUAGUUUAUAUUUAAAUUAAAAUCGAGUCAAUCUUUUAAUAAUGAAAAAAUCAAACCAAACUAAACAAAACCAAGCUUGUUUAAGAUUGAUUUGAUUAAGAUGAUGUUUAUUUUUUUAACUUAAUUUUAAAUAGGACUUUAAUUCUUAAUAAUAUUAAGUAUUAAAUUAUUUGUUUUUUUUUAAUAUUUUAUUUCUAUUGAAUAUUAGAAAGUUAAAAAAAAACCGAUGUAUUACUUUUUUUAUUUAAAAAUUUUGAUUUUUUUCUAUUAAACAAAAAAAAAUAUAAUAAAUAAUAAAAAAAAUAAAAAUAAACAAACUAAAAUUUGAAAACAAAUUAUUUUAAGUAAAAAGUUAAAAAUAAACAAAUCGAUCUUAAGUCUAAUUUAUUUUUAAAAAUAAUCGAUUGUGAAACAAAGAAACCAAAAGCGAAUAAGUAAAAGCAGGUUUUUAAAAUUCUCGAUGUAUAGGUAUUAAAAGAUAAUCGAUAUAGUCAGUUUUUGUUGAAUUGUUUAAAUCUUUCACCUAAAACCCCAACCCCCAUUUAUUAUUUUAUUUUAUUUUUGUUUGGUUGCAAGUGAAAGUCGAUGUGGGAUUGGAGCAAAUCCCAGUACAUUGAGACUCAGAGUUUGUACUGGCUAAAAAGAAGGAAAAGCACAUACACACUUUCUCUGCAUGUUUACCUAAAGUAGUGACAGUGUGGGCAGUUUGAAUGGAAAAAGGGAAUAGGCGUGCACUGUACACAUUCAGAGGAGUCGGGCGGCGGUGUACGGAUACGGCGUAGACCGGCCAAAGACGUGGAGCUUUUUUGCCUUUUUGGAAAUACACAAGUUAAAAUAAAAAAUGAAAAUCCAAAUUCAUAAAAUCUAAACUUAAUAUUUUUUAUUUAUUUAUAGUUUUUGAAAAAUAUCUUUUCACACACGUUUAAAAAAAUAUAUUAAAUUUACAAAAUUUAAUUUAGUACUUUUAUUUAAAAUUUAUUAAAAUUUGAUAUAAAUACUACUUUUAAAUUGAAUACGAAAAGUAUGUAUAUGUAUAUAAAACUCUGUUAUUAAUAUCUUUUAUUAUUUUUAUGAAAUUUAGUCAUAUUUUGUAUAGUUCGAAAAUCUUUUUUAUAAUUUAAUUAUAUUGUAAUAAGAUUAAAGAAAUAAAUAAAUUCAAUCUAAUAUUAAAUAUAUGUUAGGUAAAUUAACUUAAUUUAAGUUAUUAAGUAAAUCAAAUAUGUUUGAUAAAAUAAUUUAAUAGUAUAACUUAAAGUUAAAAAUAAUUUUAAACAAUAAAUAAAAAUAAUUAACUUAUUCUUAAAUCCGUACUUUUAUUUUAUCUUUUUACCCUUAUUUUUCAUAAUUAUCUUCAUAAUCUCUUUUGUUGUUACUUAACUUCUUUUACCUUAAUUAUAAUUUAUAAGGAUAAAUAUAUCAAUUUGAUAAUUUAUAAUAAAUUUUAAAUUAAUUUUAUUAAAAAAUUUUAAUUCUUAAAGUAAAAAAUAAGUUUUAAAUUAAUAACUUAAAUAUAGUUUAACUUAAAAUCAAAUUAAAUAAUCAAGUAAUAAAUAAUAAGUUUUAUCAAAUACUUCAAAGUUUUAUUCAAAAUUAUUAAUGGAUAGCAAAGACUGACUUGAUAUAUAAUAGUGAUUUUAUUAUUAUUAUUAUUAUUAUUAUUAUUAUUGGUACUGUGUUGAGCGUUGGAGGACCAUUUUUCACUUUUUGAAGGGCUUUCUACUGGCUUGUUUGAACCCCAAUUAGCAUGUUUUGUUGUGGAUUUUGGGCCGGUUGAGUUCUUCCUUGGCUGAUAAAGCUGAAAUGGGCAGGUUGAUUAGUUUAAAGUUAAGAUGGGGACUUGUCAAACAAGGGACUUUUUUUUUUUUAAAUAAUAAUUUUAGGUUUUUGCUAAAAUCAAGGGGCUAUUUCUUAGAAUGAAUGUUAUGUUUGGCUUGGAAGAAUUAGAAAUUAGGAGAGAAAACAAAUAAUAAAUUAUUUUUAUUUUUUAAAAUUCAUUUUACUUUCUUAAAGUCGAGAUUAUCUUUAGUUUGGAAGUAUUAGAAAAUAGAAAGAAAAAAAUUUAAAAUUAAGAAGUUAUUUUUGUAGUUUUUAAAAUUUAUUUUAUUGUGGACCCCGCAUUUCGAUGGCUCGAAUGCGUUUCCCACUCGAUGGCGAGCUCGAAUUUUUAUUUGAAAAAAUUGAUUUUUAUUGAUUAAGAAAAUGAUUUGGAGUCACCACUUAUUUUUGUUUUAUUUUUAAAGGGUAAACAAAAUAAGAAAGAAAAACCCUAAGUGUGACUCCUUAUUUUGGAAAAGGUGGUCUAUGAAAAACCGGAUCGGGUUCAGGGGUCAGGUUACUUAUUGGGAAGGUACGGUAAAAGACCGUAGCACCCCUCUAAGUCCCUAAAGUCGGGUCUCUACUAAUGAGAUGAAGCUGACAUGGCAAUCAAUGAGAAAAUCAAUGAAUACUCGAAUCAAUUAUGCACAUAUGAGAGUCAGAAAAUGCAUAUAGACUAACCAGAGUGGGAAUGAGUGUGUACCUGAGCAGCGAGCCACUACGCGCUAUCAAGAGAGAGGGUUAGUGCAAAAUAAAGAGCAUGAACAUAACUCACAUGUCACUAAAUCGAGUACAAAAUCAUUCAAGGCACGCAUGGCACUUCACUCAAAAUUCAUUUUUAUUUUAAAGAAAAUUUAUUUGAUGUUGGGCCCCCACCAAAGCCCAUUUAUUUUGCAUGAACCAAAUCCGUAAAUUCCAUCAUUAGGAAUUACAAAAUUUGAUUCUUGCUUAUUUUAAAACAUUUUAAAAAAAACAAAAGAGAUGUGAAAAUGGCUUGCCAAGAAGAAGAGUGGCAGCAAAAUUUUAUUGGAAAAAUGGAUUUUUGGAAUCUAAGAAAAAACUAAGGAUGAAAAAUGGAUGAGUUUGAAAUUAUUUUAAAACAAACUAAGAUCUAGAAAAUUAUUUGAAGAAAGGGAUUUAAAAGAAUAUUUUUCAAAAUUGGAGAUGGUGAAAUGGGAAAAUGGCACUGUGGCCCAAAGGUGGCCAUGCACCAUGCAGAGAAUAGAGCCAUUCUGGAGGACAACUCAUGCUACUGCCUCUUAUUUCAAUGUAUGGAACCCAAUUUGAAAGGCUAGGUCAAUUUCAGAACUUGCAGUCUUCCAGCUUCUUGACCACUUCUGAAAUUUUAGGGCCAUGAGC